RNAcentral lists this ribosomal RNA (253 nucleotides) under uncultured bacterium. Its description in RNAcentral is "partial 16S ribosomal RNA". It matches the Rfam family "Bacterial small subunit ribosomal RNA", at positions 524 to 776 of the family's 1533-position model. The record is from RNAcentral.
UACGUAGGGUGCAAGCGUUAAUCGGAAUUACUGGGCGUAAAGCGUGCGCAGGCGGUUGUGCAAGACAGAUGUGAAAUCCCCGGGCUCAACCUGGGAACUGCAUUUGUGACUGUACGGCUAGAGUGUGUCAGAGGGGGGUAGAAUUCCACGUGUAGCAGUGAAAUGCGUAGAGAUGUGGAGGAAUACCGAUGGCGAAGGCAGCCCCCUGGGAUAACACUGACGCUCAUGCACGAAAGCGUGGGGAGCAAACAGG